Molecule: long non-coding RNA, 932 nt
Filed under: Manacus vitellinus (golden-collared manakin)
Lineage: Eukaryota; Metazoa; Chordata; Aves; Passeriformes; Pipridae
Description: lncRNA (ENSMVIG00005005741.1)
Source: RNAcentral
UAUACUGGUUUAUACUGGUUUAUACUGGUUUGGACUGGUUUGGACUGGUUUGGACUGGUUUGGGGUCGGGGGGCACUGGUUUGGACUGGGAGGGCACUGGGGGGACUGGGGGGGUCAGAAAGGGAUCCAUACUGGUCCAUACUGGUCCAUAUUACUCUAUAUUGAUCCAUACUGGUCUAUACUGGUUUAUACUGGUCCAUACUGGUCCAUACUGGUCUAUACUGGUCUAUACUGGACGUGCAGAUCAUCGUGACGGGGGCCCCUUGUCCAUACUGGUCCAUACUGGUCCAUAUUACUCUAUAUUGCUCCAUACUGGUCUAUACUGGUUUAUACUGGUCCAUACUGGUUUAUACUGGUUUCUGGGCAGCUGGACGUGCAGAUCAUCGUGACGGGGGCCCCUUGUCCCUACUGGUCCAUACUGGUCCAUACUGGUCCAUAUUGUUCUAUAUUGAUCCAUACUGGUUUAUACUGGUUUAUACUGGUCCAUACUGGUCCAUACUGGUCCAUACUGGUCCAUACUGGCCCAUAUUACUCCCUAGUGGUUUAUACUGGUCUAUACUGGUCCAUACUGGUCCAUACUGGUUUAUACUGGUCCAUACUGGUUUAUACUGGUCUAUACUGGUCUAUACUGGUCUAUACUGGUCCAUACUGGUCUAUACUGGUCUAUACUGGUCCAUACUGGUUUCCUGCCCAGCUGGACGUGCAGAUCAUCGUGACGGGGGCCCCCCGGCACGGGGGCCGCCCCCUGGGCACGUACCUGCAGUACCUGGAGCACCUGGGCCAGCACCGGCCCCCGCCCUCGGCCUACGAGCUCUACGCCCGCGGCUACGAGGACUACCUGCAGAGCCCCCUGCAGGUGGGCGGGGCCUCGCGGGGAGGGGGCGUGGCCUCGCAGGGGGGAGGGCCGAAGAUGGGGGCGGCGUGGGGGGUUG